Molecule: ribosomal RNA, 402 nt
Filed under: Bacteroidota bacterium
Lineage: Bacteria; Pseudomonadati; Bacteroidota
Description: Bacteroidetes bacterium partial 16S ribosomal RNA
Rfam family: Bacterial small subunit ribosomal RNA
Source: RNAcentral
UGGGGAAUUUUGCACAAUGGGGGAAACCCUGAUGCAGCGACGCCGCGUGAUUUAGAAGGCCUUCGGGUUGUAAAAAUCUUUUCUAUGGGAAGAAAAUGACAGUACCAUAGGAAUAAGGACCGGCUAAUUACGUGCCAGCAGCCGCGGUAAUACGUAAGGUCCGAGCGUUGUCCGGAAUCAUUGGGCGUAAAGGGUACGUAGGCGGGUAAGCAAGUUAGAAGUGAAAUCCUGUAGCUCAACUACAGUAAGCUUUUAAAACUGCUCAUCUUGAGAUAUGGAAGGGAAAGUGGAAUUCCUAGUGUAACGGUGAAAUGCGCAGAUAUUAGGAGGAAUACCGGUGGCGAAGGCGACUUUCUGGCCAUAAUCUGACGCUGAGGUACGAAAGCGUGGGUAGCAAACAGG